This 206-nucleotide ribosomal RNA is filed under the name uncultured bacterium. Its description in RNAcentral is "partial 16S ribosomal RNA". It matches the Rfam family "Bacterial small subunit ribosomal RNA", at positions 568 to 774 of the family's 1533-position model. The record is from RNAcentral.
CGCGUAGGUGGUUAAUUAAGUCAAAUGUGAAAUCCCCGAGCUUAACUUGGGAAUUGCAUUCGAUACUGGUUAGCUAGAGCAUGGGAGAGGAUGGUAGAAUUCCAGGUGUAGCGGUGAGAUGCGUAGAGAUCUGGAGGAAUACCGAUGGCGAAGGCAAUCCCCUGGGCCUGUACUGACGCUCAUGCACGAAAGGCUGGGAGCAAACA